Molecule: ribosomal RNA, 737 nt
Filed under: uncultured Lactobacillus sp.
Lineage: Bacteria; Bacillati; Bacillota; Bacilli; Lactobacillales; Lactobacillaceae
Description: bacterial SSU rRNA
Rfam family: Bacterial small subunit ribosomal RNA
Source: RNAcentral
GAUGAACGCCGGCGGUGUACAUAAGACAUGCCGGUCGAACGGGAGAAGACUGGUGGAUUUCUCUACUAGUUGGACACCGUGGCGGACGGGUGAGUAACCCGUAAGCAACCUGCCUAUUACAGGGGAAUAACACUGAGAAAUUACUGAUAAUACCGCAAAAGCUGGAAGUAUCGCAUGAUACAUUCAGAAAAGAUUUAUCGCUUAUAGAUGGGCUUGCGUCUGAUUAUCUAGAUGGUGAGAUAACAGCUCACCUUGGCGACGAUCCUGGCCGGAUUGAGAGGUUGAACGGCCACAUUGGGACUGAGAUUCUUCCCUCACUCCUACGGGAGGCAGCCGUCGGGAAUAUUGUACACUGGAGGAAACUAUGAUGGGAUGACACUGUGGGUAGGAAGAAGGUCAUACGAUUCUGAGCUAUUGCCGUGUGAUAAGAACUGACCCUCACACGAGGAAUGCCUGAUCAAAUAUGCGCGACCAGUCGCGGUCAUCCAUAUGGGGAGCGCGUUAUUCUCCUUUAUGGGAUGGAAACGGUGCGUACGCUGGAAAAUAUGACAGCAUGCGAAAUUCCCUCGGCUCCCCUGAUCACUGCAACUGAAACUAGUUUUCUUGAGUGAUUGACGUCACUAGUGUAUUUCCUAUUGUAUCGACGCAUUGCGUAGACAUUCGGGCAGCACACCCCUGGUUAAGGACCACCUUCUCGGGCUAGCACUCUGCAUGCCGUAUGGCCGAUCGGUCAGCGG